This 810-nucleotide ribosomal RNA is filed under the name Triticum aestivum (bread wheat). RNAcentral's name for it is "partial small subunit ribosomal RNA". Lineage: Eukaryota; Viridiplantae; Streptophyta; Magnoliopsida; Poales; Poaceae. The record is from RNAcentral.
AUGAUAAUACAAAAGGAAAAAGGAUGGGAAAAGCCAGAGCUCGGAUGGGCUAAGGUCAAUGUUGAUGGAAGUUUUUUGGAGGAAAGUAGGAGUGGAGCCUGGGAAGCUGUGAUUCGAGACCAUGAUGGAAGAAUUAUCUUAUCAGUUUGGGAUUAUAUACCGCGGUGCAAUGGAGCGGACUGCGCGGAAGCCAUGGCUUGCCUAGAAGGACUACGGAAGGCAAUGUCGGGGACGGAUUUACCCUUAAUCAUCGAGACGGAUUGCAGCUCGGUGACAAAGGCGCUCAUCCUCUCGUCUAUUGCUAGAUCGGAGGUUGGAACAAUUGCAAAGAAGUUUCAAGCCAUGAAAGAAAACAGAGAAGUUAGAGUUUGCAAAGUAGAUAGAAGGGACAAUAGUCCCCCCGCCCCUCCCCUCCCCUCCCCUCCCUCCGCUAGCCGCCACGUCCCCGGCCGACCCGACCACCCCUCGCCGUCGGCCGGACCGCAUCUCCCCCCCUCACCCCCACCUCCAGAUCCGCGCGCUCCCCUAGCCUCCCCCCGCCCGCCGCCGCCGGGAACUUUCUGCCGAGCUCGAUCCAUCCAGUGGCCGGCUACAGCGACCGCCCGCCGCGCGGAUCGAUCCAGCGACCAACCUGGAGCACGGCUGCUAGCCGUCCCCUCACCAGUCAACCCAAGUCGCACCACGUGCCACCAUUUCGACCAGCUCCGCCGCUGCUAUUUUUCUCCCUAUAUUCCUCCCCUCACACCGACGGCGCCCCGGCCGCUCCUCCCCGUCCGCCGCGCCCCCGGUGAGCGAGCAUAUCCGGCCUGA